AACGAACGCUGGCGGCAUGCCUAACACAUGCAAGUCGAACGAGACCUUCGGGUCUAGUGGCGCACGGGUGCGUAACGCGUGGGAACCUGCCUUUAGGUUCGGAAUAACUCAGAGAAAUUUGAGCUAAUACCGGAUGAUGUCUUCGGACCAAAGAUUUAUCGCCUUUAGAUGGGCCCGCGUUGGAUUAGCUAGUUGGUGGGGUAAAGGCCUACCAAGGCGACGAUCCAUAGCUGGUCUGAGAGGAUGAUCAGCCACACUGGGACUGAGACACGGCCCAGACUCCGCGGGAAGGAGGAGGGGGGGAAUAUGGAAAAAGGGGGGAAAGCCUGACCCAGCAAGGCCGGGGGAGUGAGAAAGGCGUUAGGGUGGAAAAGCUUUUUUACCAGAGAUGAAAAUGACAGUAUGGGAAGAAUAAGCCCCGCAAAACCCCGUG
This 433-nucleotide ribosomal RNA is filed under the name uncultured bacterium. RNAcentral describes it as "partial 16S ribosomal RNA". It matches the Rfam family "Bacterial small subunit ribosomal RNA", at positions 29 to 507 of the family's 1533-position model. The record is from RNAcentral.